AUUGAACGCUGGCGGCAUGCCUUACACAUGCAAGUCGAACGGCAGCACGGGUGCUUGCACCUGGUGGCGAGUGGCGAACGGGUGAGUAAUACAUCGGAACAUGUCCUGUAGUGGGGGAUAGCCCGGCGAAAGCCGGAUUAAUACCGCAUACGAUCUACGGAUGAAAGCGGGGGACCUUCGGGCCUCGCGCUAUAGGGUUGGCCGCUGGCUGAUUAGCUAGUUGGUGGGGUAAAGGCCUACCAAGGCGACGAUCAGUAGCUGGUCUGAGAGGACGACCAGCCACACUGGGACUGAGACACGGCCCAGACUCCUACGGGAGGCAGCAGUGGGGAAUUUUGGACAAUGGGCGAAAGCCUGAUCCAGCAAUGCCGCGUGUGUGAAGAAGGCCUUCGGGUUGUAAAGCACUUUUGUCCGGAAAGAAAUCCUUGGCCCUAAUACGGUCGGGGGAUGACGGUACCGGAAGAAUAAGCACCGGCUAACUACGUG
This 486-nucleotide ribosomal RNA is filed under the name uncultured bacterium. Its description in RNAcentral is "partial 16S ribosomal RNA". It matches the Rfam family "Bacterial small subunit ribosomal RNA", at positions 30 to 507 of the family's 1533-position model. The record is from RNAcentral.